This 468-nucleotide ribosomal RNA is filed under the name uncultured bacterium. RNAcentral's name for it is "partial 16S ribosomal RNA". It matches the Rfam family "Bacterial small subunit ribosomal RNA", at positions 28 to 507 of the family's 1533-position model. The record is from RNAcentral.
GACGAACGCUGGCGGCGUGCUUAACACAUGCAAGUCGAACGGAAAGGCCCUGCUUUUGUGGGGUGCUCGAGUGGCGAACGGGUGAGUAACACGUGAGUAACCUGCUCUUGACUUUGGGAUAACUUCAGGUAACUGGGGCUAAUAUCGGAUAGGAGCUCCUGCUGCAUGGUGGGGGUUGGAAAGUCUCGGCGGUUGGGGAUGGAUUCGCGGCUUAUCAGCUUGUUGGUGGGGUAGUGGCUUACCAAGGCUUUGACGGGUAGCCGGCCUGAGAGGGUGACCGGCCACAUUGGGACUGAGAUACGGCCGCGACGCGUACGUGGGGCAGCAGUGGGGAAUAUUGCACAAUGGGCGGGAGCCUGAUGCAGCAACGCCGCGUGCGGGAUGACGGCCUUCGGGUUGUAAACCGCUUUCGCCUGUGACGAAGCGUGAGUGACGGUAAUGGGUAAAGAAGCACCGGCUAACUACGUG